AACGCGAAGAACCUUACCUACCCUUGACAUCCAAAGAAUUUUGCAGAGAUGCGAAAGUGCCGAAAGGAACUUUGAGACAGGUGCUGCAUGGCUGUCGUCAGCUCGUGUUGUGAGAUGUUGGGUUAAGUCCCGUAACGAGCGCAACCCUUAUCUUUAGUUACCAUCACGUUAUGGUGGGGACUCUAAAGAGACUGCUGGUGAUGAACCGGAGGAAGGCGGGGACGACGUCAAGUCAUCAUGGCCUUUAUGGGUAGGGCUACACACGUGCUACAAUGGUCGGUACAGAGGGUAGCCAACCCGCGAGGGGGAGCCAAUCCCGCAAAGCCGAUCGUAGUCCGGAUCGGAGUCUGCAACUCGACUCCGUGAAGUCGGAAUCGCUAGUAAUCGCGAAUCAGAAUGUCGCGGUGAAUACGUUCCCGGGCCUUGUACACACCGCAUAC
Molecule: ribosomal RNA, 440 nt
Filed under: uncultured bacterium
Lineage: Bacteria
Description: bacterial SSU rRNA
Rfam family: Bacterial small subunit ribosomal RNA
Source: RNAcentral